UCUUGAUAUACUUUAAGGUAGAGAAACUUCAUUCACAAGCUACCUGGGUAACUGAGAGGGUGAGUAGGAUCUACCUGGGUAACUGAGAGGGUGAGUGGGAACUACCUGGGUAACUGAGAGGGUGAGUAGGAACUACUUGGGUAACAGAGGGUGAGUAGGAUCUAGCUGGGUAACUGAGAGGGUGAGUAGGAACUACCUGGGUAACAGAGGGUGAGCAGGAUCUACCUGGGUAACUGAGAGGGUGAGUAGGAACUACCUGGGUAACUGAGAGGGUGAGUAGGAUCUACCUGGGUAACUGAGAGGGUGAUAGGAUCUACCUGGGUAACUGAGAGGGUGAGUAGGAACUUGUAUCCAAGGCUGAUGAUAUGGUAUGCAUCAGUCAGCAGGUUGUACCGUCUCAGCAUCUGGUAACAACACAGUGGACAUUCUUUGUAGGAUGGAGCAGCAUUUAUUCUUCAUUUCCACCACAUCUUCCAUUUCCCGUCAGGGCCGUCCUCCACUGUCCUGGUCAUGUAUUCUUCAUUUCCAUCAGGGCCAUCCUCCACUGUCCCUGGUCAUGCAUUCUUCAUUUCCAUCAGGGCCGUCCUCCACUGUCCUGGUCGUGUAUUCUUCAUUUCCAUCAGGGCAGUCCUCCACUGUCCUGGUCAUGUAUUCUUCAUUUCCAUCAGGGCCGUCCUCCACUGUCCUGGUCAUGUAUUCUUCAUUUCCAUCAGGGCAGUCCUCCACUGUCCUGGUCAUGUAUUCUUCAUUUCCAUCAGGGCCGUCCUCCACUGUCCUGGUCAUGUAUUCUUCAUUUCCAUCAGGGCCGUCCUCCACUGUCCUGGUCAUGUAUUCUUCAUUUCCAUCAGGGCCGUCCUCCACUGUCCUGGUCAUGUAUUCUUCAUUUCCAUCAGGGCCGUCCUCCACUGUCCUGGUCAUGUAUUCUUCAUUUCCAUCAGGGCCGUCCUCCACUGUCCUGGUCAUGUAUUCCUCCAAUCCUGAACUUUUCAGUAUUUUCCACUGUUACAGCGAGGCUCCUCAGCUCACACUGCAAAUUGUCAACAGUUGCUCGGCUAUCAAAUUGAAGCAAACAUUUUGCUGAGCUUUUGAAGGGUUGUCUGUGGAAGACCAUUGGAUGUUAUCUGGGAGAAGUUUCUAGGAUCCAGAAGGUCUAGGUCAGCAUAUAGAGCGAGCCACGAGACAGAAAUCACCUGUGGAUACUAUCUGUGACUGUAUCCAUAAUUUGAUUGUGGACUUGGAACUUUAGAGGCACUCUCUGCCUCUGUCAAAGCUUCAUCUUGAGCCGUCUCUCCAGACAUGAUUUUCUUCUUUCUUGCCUUUUUCUGUGGCAGAGUGGCUUCCACCUCCUCCAGCUCUGUGUCCUCAUCCUGUUCUUUGAUCUUCUUAUUUGUAAACUGAACAAAUGUGUCUGUAGCUGCCUUAAUGGGGUCAAGGUCUCUUGCCAUGCCUUUCAGGGUUUCCUGUGUAGCCACAACCAUUCGAUGGGCAGACAGGAUGUCCAUCCCACUUGUCUGCAGGUAUUUGGACAGUGGUGACGUGUUCUCAAAUAUCCAAAGAAAUAUUUGAGCGGUCAGUAUCGUCUCAUACCGGAGAAGAACCUCAGUAAAUCCUCUUGCCUUCACCCAAACAGUUGUCUUCGUGUUGGCCUGUCCUUGUAUGGCUGACAGUAUGAGGAGUACUUCAACAUAGAGACCCUGGUCUGGUUUUUCAAAGGAUCCAAAGACCUUCUUCAAAGCUCUAUCCUUAAGCCCACCAGCGUGUUUCUCCGAUUGGAGAUAGGGGUCUGUGUCAAGUGUCCUGGCUCUUCUUCUCCCACACAUCCAUCCUUUGGUCGGAUUCACGGAGUAACACAGCAAUGUCGUUAAGGAGAGCAAACAGUGACCCACUCGCUAAGACAAUUUCAGUUGUUGUCAGACCAAACCAGAUUAAGGACACGUGCAUAGCGCCAUACAUGCACUUGAUUGGGGGACUUUGAGGAUAACAGAGUAGAGAAGCCCUUAUAUUUGCCCUGCAUUUUGGAUGCUCCAUCCGUAGCUUUGCCAAUGCACUUGUCUAAUUUGUGUUUAUCCACAAUAUCUGUCAACAGCUGGACAAAGUACUGUCCAGUAGAUCCCUGACACUUCACAACAGCCACGAGCCUCUCUUGUACGACGUCUGUCACAUAUCUCAUAAUGACAGAGCACUGGUCUUGAGAAGUUAUGUCCUGAGUUGUGUCGAUCUGGACAGAGAACAUUCCAGCUUGUUCAAUUUCACUUGACAUGUUCUCUUGGAUAAUGCUCUGAAUUGUGUGAAUGACGGUGUUGACAGUAUUUUUUGAGAGGAGUGUGAUUAGAGAACCUCUGCCUCUUGCCCCAGGACUGAUGUAGGUUCUUGCUUUUCUCAAUGCAUUCGGUGAGAUGUUCUUUCAACCAGACGUCAUACAUUCCCAGUAGUAUUAUCAUCCAAAAGAAAUGACCGUGAUCGAUACUGGUGUCCUCUAAUGUAUACGCAGGCGGCCCACCGGCCCAGAGGUUGACCAGCCCACAGGGAAUUCUCCCGGUGGUCAGUCCGUUACCGUCUGAGUAAGAUCUAGGAUCAGUUUUGCCUUAUUUUAGAUCAUAAUGAAUAAUAUUAUAUGGACAGAUCCUAGAUCAGUACUCCUACUCUGAGAUGCUUUGUGGUUGUAGGCCCAG
Molecule: long non-coding RNA, 2672 nt
Filed under: Salmo salar (Atlantic salmon)
Lineage: Eukaryota; Metazoa; Chordata; Actinopteri; Salmoniformes; Salmonidae
Description: lncRNA (ENSSSAG00000119595.1)
Source: RNAcentral